Molecule: transfer RNA, 86 nt
Filed under: Candidatus Beckwithbacteria bacterium CG1_02_47_37
Lineage: Bacteria; Candidatus Beckwithiibacteriota
Description: tRNA-Tyr
Rfam family: tRNA
About the family: Transfer RNA (tRNA) molecules are approximately 80 nucleotides in length. Their secondary structure includes four short double-helical elements and three loops (D, anti-codon, and T loops).
Source: RNAcentral
GCUGUGGUGCCGGAGUCCGGUCAAUCGGGACUGUCUGUAGAACAGUUGCUAUACUAGCUACGAAGGUUCAAAUCCUUCCCACAGCA